This 506-nucleotide ribosomal RNA is filed under the name uncultured bacterium. Its description in RNAcentral is "partial 16S ribosomal RNA". It matches the Rfam family "Bacterial small subunit ribosomal RNA", at positions 29 to 523 of the family's 1533-position model. The record is from RNAcentral.
AGUGAACGCUGGCGGUAGGCCUAACACAUGCAAGUCGAACGGCAGCACAGGAGAGCUUGCUCUCUGGGUGGCGAGUGGCGGACGGGUGAGGAAUACAUCGGAAUCUACUCUGUCGUGGGGGAUAACGUAGGGAAACUUACGCUAAUACCGCAUACGACCUACGGGUGAAAGCAGGGGACCUUCGGGCCUUGCGCGAUUGAAUGAGCCGAUGUCGGAUUAGCUAGUUGGCGGGGUAAAGGCCCACCAAGGCGACGAUCCGUAGCUGGUCUGAGAGGAUGAUCAGCCACAGUGGAACUGAGACACGGUGCAGAAUCCUACGGGAGGCAGCAGUGGGGAAUAUUGGACAAUGGGCGCAAGCCUGAUCCAGCCAUACCGCGUGGGUGAAGAAGGCCUUCGGGUUGUAAAGCCCUUUUGUUGGGAAAGAAAUCCAGCUGGCUAAUACCCGGUUGGGAUGACGGUACCCAAAGAAUAAGCACCGGCUAACUUCGUGCCAGCCGCCGCGGUAA